This 27-nucleotide small RNA is filed under the name Bombyx mori (domestic silkworm). RNAcentral describes it as "ovarian small RNA-21281". Lineage: Eukaryota; Metazoa; Arthropoda; Insecta; Lepidoptera; Bombycidae. The record is from RNAcentral.
UACUACUUUCGACGAGUCGACCUCUUG